UACGAGGGGGUCCUAGCGUUGUUCGGAAUCAUUGGGCGUAAAGCGUCUGUAGGCGGCUUUGUAAGUCGGGUGUGAAAGCCCCCAGGCUCAACCUGGGAAGUGCAUUCGAUACUGCAUAGCUUGAAUGUUGGAGAGGAUAGUAGAAUUCCAGGUGUAGUGGUGAAAUACGUAGAUAUCUGGAGGAAUACCGGUGGCGAAGGCGGCUAUCUGGCCAAACAUUGACGCUGAGAGACGAAAAGCAUGGGGGAUCAAACAGG
Molecule: ribosomal RNA, 257 nt
Filed under: uncultured bacterium
Lineage: Bacteria
Description: partial 16S ribosomal RNA
Rfam family: Bacterial small subunit ribosomal RNA
Source: RNAcentral